GGCGAGAUGGCCGAGCGGUCUAAGGCGCUAGAAUCAGGUCGCAGAAUCCUUUGUCAGAUAAUCUAGUCCUUCGGGGCGUGGGUUCGAAUCCCACUCUCGUCA
This is a non-coding RNA of Marasmius oreades (fairy-ring Marasmius), 102 nucleotides long. NCBI's taxonomy places the organism in Eukaryota, Fungi, Basidiomycota, Agaricomycetes, Agaricales, Marasmiaceae. The record is from the annotation of a RefSeq genome assembly.